This is a small nucleolar RNA of Varanus komodoensis (Komodo dragon), 130 nucleotides long. The record is from Ensembl. Lineage: Eukaryota; Metazoa; Chordata; Lepidosauria; Squamata; Varanidae.
UUGCAAACCCAAGCUUGCUCUGCAUGAAAUGGCAGAUGUAAGGGGAAGAGGUUUGCUAAAUUAAAUGUGGUAACAGAUGCACAUUUGUUAGACAUAAUGUUAUGGCUAUUUAUUUUGUGCCAUUGCAACA